RNAcentral lists this ribosomal RNA (51 nucleotides) under Fusarium solani. RNAcentral's name for it is "partial 18S ribosomal RNA". The record is from RNAcentral. Lineage: Eukaryota; Fungi; Ascomycota; Sordariomycetes; Hypocreales; Nectriaceae.
GAAGUAAAAGUCGUAACAAGGUUUCGUUGGUGAACCAGCGGAGGGAUCAUU